RNAcentral lists this ribosomal RNA (425 nucleotides) under uncultured bacterium. RNAcentral describes it as "bacterial SSU rRNA". It matches the Rfam family "Bacterial small subunit ribosomal RNA", at positions 335 to 755 of the family's 1533-position model. The record is from RNAcentral.
ACUCCUACGGGAGGCAGCAGUGGGGAAUAUUGCACAAUGGGCGCAAGCCUGAUGCAGCCAUGCCGCGUGUGUGAAGAAGGCCUCGGUUGUAAAGCACUUUCAGCAGUGAGGAAGGCGGGUAUGUUAAUAGCAUAUUCGUUUGACGUUAGCUGCAGAAGAAGCACCGGCUAACUCCGUGCCAGCAGCCGCGGUAAUACGGAGGGUGCGAGCGUUAAUCGGAAUUACUGGGCGUAAAGCGCAUGCAGGUGGUUUGUUAAGUCAGAUGUGAAAGCCCGGGGCUCAACCUCGGAAUAGCAUUUGAAACUGGCAGACUAGAGUACUGUAGAGGGGGUAGAAUUUCAGGUGUAGCGGUGAAAUGCGUAGAGAUCUGAAGGAAUACCGGUGGCGAAGGCGGCCCCCUGGACAGAUACUGACACUCAGAUGCG